This 509-nucleotide ribosomal RNA is filed under the name uncultured Symbiodinium. RNAcentral's name for it is "partial Bacterial small subunit ribosomal RNA". It matches the Rfam family "Bacterial small subunit ribosomal RNA", at positions 11 to 517 of the family's 1533-position model. Lineage: Eukaryota; Dinophyceae; Suessiales; Symbiodiniaceae. The record is from RNAcentral.
GUUUGAUCAUGGCUCAGAUUGAACGCUGGCGGCAGGCUUAACACAUGCAAGUCGAGCGGAAACGAUGAUAGCUUGCUAUCAGGCGUCGAGCGGCGGACGGGUGAGUAACGCGUAGGAAUCUACCUAGUAGUGGGGGACAACAGUUGGAAACGACUGCUAAUACCGCAUAACGUCUACGGACCAAAGGGGGCUUCGGCUCUCGCCCUUAGAUUAGCCCAAGUGGGAUUAGCUAGUUGGUGAGGUAAUGGCUUACCAAGGCGACGAUCCCUAGCUGGUUUGAGAGGAUGAUCAGCCACACUGGAACUGAGACACGGUCCAGACUCCUACGGGAGGCAGCAGUGGGGAAUAUUGCACAAUGGGCGCAAGCCUGAUGCAGCCAUGCCGCGUGUGUGAAGAAGGCCUUAGGGUUGUAAAGCACUUUCAGUAAGGAGGAAAGGUUAGUAGUUAAUACCUGCUAGCUGUGACGUUACUUACAGAAGAAGCACCGGCUAACUCCGUGCCAGCAGCCG